UACGUAGGGUGCAAGCGUUAUCCGGAUUUACUGGGUUUAAAGGGUGCGUAGGUGGGUAGGUAAGUCAGUGGUGAAAUCUUCGGGCUUAACCCGGAAACUGCCAUUGAUACUAUUUAUCUUGAAUACUUUGGAGGUAAGCGGAAUAUGUCAUGUAGCGGUGAAAUGCUUAGAUAUGACAUAGAACACCAAUUGCGAAGGCAGCUUACUACACAGUUAUUGACACUGAGGCACGAAAGCGUGGGGAUCAAACAGG
Molecule: ribosomal RNA, 253 nt
Filed under: uncultured bacterium
Lineage: Bacteria
Description: partial 16S ribosomal RNA
Rfam family: Bacterial small subunit ribosomal RNA
Source: RNAcentral